Small nucleolar RNA from Octodon degus (degu), 70 nucleotides. RefSeq annotates it as small nucleolar RNA SNORD113/SNORD114 family. The record is from RefSeq and is a predicted model, not a curated record. The transcript has a single exon. NCBI's taxonomy places the organism in Eukaryota, Metazoa, Chordata, Mammalia, Rodentia, Octodontidae.
UGGAUCAGCAGUGACCACCGGUGACGUGUGAGUCGUGGAGGUUGAAUGUAUGGCUGGAACUCGGGUCCAA